CUGGCCCUGGGUAGAAGUCUCCAGAGGACACUCAAAAAUCUGCCUCCCAUACAAUAUUUACAAUGUGCAGUGGGAAAAAAAAAGCUUUUUUUUUUUUUUUUUUUUUUCUUCUUUUUUUUUUUUUUUUUUUUCUUUUUUUUUUUUUUUUUUUUUAGAGGUGGCUUCCGUCCAUGAGGAGAAAAACACCAACAGGGCCUGGCUGGCAAGGAGACCAGCUCCAUGGAAGUCCCUAUCCAGCCCAUGUGCAGAGCUGGAAGCAUCUGCCAGAGCAGAAAGAAGGACUGAAGUGUCAACAUUUGUUUUCCAUUAACUUGUGAAAACAUAGACAGCUAUUGUUAAAGCUGGAGACUUCCUGCUAUUUGGCUUGGAGGAAAAAGCAAGUGGGUGCUCAUGCUGAGCAGUUGUAGCCAACAAAGUUGUGCUCCAUGGACAUUGUUGCCAAGUCCCCUGUGCUGGUGGUGGGUGCUCUUUCGAGUGCACAGGGCUCAUAUCUUAUUAGUUCAGUCUUA
This 509-nucleotide long non-coding RNA is filed under the name Zonotrichia albicollis (white-throated sparrow). Its description in RNAcentral is "lncRNA (ENSZALG00000007943.1)". Lineage: Eukaryota; Metazoa; Chordata; Aves; Passeriformes; Passerellidae. The record is from RNAcentral.